CGUCGCUCCUACCGAUUGAAUGGUCCGGUGAAGUGUUCGGAUUGCGGCGACGUGGGCGGUUUGCUGCUUGCGACGUCGAAAGAAGUCCACUGAACCUUAUCAUUUAGGGGAAGGAAUUCG
This 120-nucleotide non-coding RNA is filed under the name Daucus carota subsp. sativus. The record is from Rfam by way of RNAcentral. Lineage: Eukaryota; Viridiplantae; Streptophyta; Magnoliopsida; Apiales; Apiaceae.